UCAAACUUGGUCAUUUAGAGGAAGUAAAAGUCGUAACAAGGUUUCCGUAGGUGAACCUGCGGAAGGAUCAUUAACAAUUGUCCACCAUGGAUAAUUUAAUCCAUAUCCACCUUGUGUGAAUCACUGAAGUGUUUGUUGGCAGGUUAAGUCUCUCUCUAUCGAGAGCUGGGGGUUGGUAUUGUUUGUUCAAUGCUUCACCGGCCUGCCAAUUUUAUUUAUAUGUAAACUUGUCUCAAAUAUUACUGGUCUGAAAUAUAUAAAAAGUAUAACAAAAUACAACUUUCAACAACGGAUCUCUUGGCUCUCGCAUCGAUGAAGAACGCAGC
Molecule: unclassified non-coding RNA, 326 nt
Filed under: uncultured fungus
Lineage: Eukaryota; Fungi
Description: partial contains small subunit ribosomal RNA, internal transcribed spacer 1, and 5.8S ribosomal RNA
Rfam family: Eukaryotic small subunit ribosomal RNA (bases 1-73)
Source: RNAcentral